UCGGGAGUAGCAAUACUGCCGGCGACCGGCGCAAGGGUGCGUAACGCGUGAGCAACAUGCCCGUAUCAGGGGGGAUAAUCCAUGGAAACGUGGUCUAAUACCCCAUAGUAAUUAUGUAAGGCAUCUUAUAUAAUUUAAAGCUUUGGUGGAUACGGAUUGGCUCGCGUGACAUUAGCUGGAUGGUAAGGUAACGGCUUACCAUGGCUACGAUGUCUAGGGGUUCUGAGAGGAAGGUCCCCCACACUGGAACUGAGACACGGUCCAGACUCCUACGGGAGGCAGCAGUGAGGAAUAUUGGACAAUGGAUGGAAAUCUGAUCCAGCCAUGCCGCGUGCAGGAAGAACCGGCCCUAUGGGUUGUAAACUGCUUUUGUAUGGGAGCAAUAAGGGCUACGUGUAGUCCGAUGAGAGUACCAUACGAAUAAGCACCGGCUAACUCCGUGCCAGCAGCAGC
This 453-nucleotide ribosomal RNA is filed under the name uncultured bacterium. RNAcentral describes it as "bacterial SSU rRNA". It matches the Rfam family "Bacterial small subunit ribosomal RNA", at positions 70 to 518 of the family's 1533-position model. The record is from RNAcentral.